This 465-nucleotide ribosomal RNA is filed under the name uncultured bacterium. RNAcentral describes it as "partial 16S ribosomal RNA". It matches the Rfam family "Bacterial small subunit ribosomal RNA", at positions 338 to 795 of the family's 1533-position model. The record is from RNAcentral.
CCUACGGGAGGCUGCAGUGGGGAAUUUUGCGCAAUGCUCGUAAGAGUGACGCAGCGACGCCGCGUGAAUGACGAAGGCCUUCGGGUCGUAAAGUUCUUUCGACAGGGAAGAAAAUGCCUAUAAGUAACUGUGUAUGUAUUGACGGUACCUGUAUAAGCAGCCCCGGCUAACUCCGUGCCAGCAGCCGCGGUAAUACGGAGGGGGCGAGCGUUGUUCGGAGUGACUGGGCGUAAAGAGCACGUAGGCGGUGUUGUAAGUCAUUAGUCAAAGACUAGAGCUCAACUUUAGUAAGGCUAGUGAUACUAUAAUACUAGAGUAUCAGAGAGGAUUGCAGAAUUCCUGGUGUAGCGGUGAAAUGCGUAGAUAUUAGGAGGAACACCAGAGGCGAAGGCGGCUAACUGGACUGCAACUGACGCUGAGGCACGAAAGUGUGGGGAGCAAACAGGAUUAGAUACCCGGGUAGUC